Molecule: ribosomal RNA, 315 nt
Filed under: uncultured bacterium
Lineage: Bacteria
Description: bacterial SSU rRNA
Rfam family: Bacterial small subunit ribosomal RNA
Source: RNAcentral
UCGCAAGACCUUGUCGCUGAUUGAGCGGCCGAUAUCAGAUUAGCUAGUUGGUGAGGUAAAGGCUCACCAACGGCGACGAUCUGUAGCGGGUCUGAGAGGAUGAUCCGCCACACUGGAACUGAGACACGGUCCAGACUCCUACGGGAGGCAGCAGUGGGGAAUUUUGGACAAUGGGCGCAAGCCUGAUCCAGCCCAUGCCGCGUGAGUGAAGAAGGCCUUCGGGUUGUAAAGCUCUUUCAGCCGGGAAGAAAACGCAUGGGUUAAUACCCUGUGUGGAUGACGGUACCGGAAUAAGAAGCACCGGCUAACUACGUG